ACAACUUUCAACAACGGAUCUCUUGGCUCUCGCAUCGAUGAAGAACGCAGCGAAAUGCGAUAAGUAAUGUGAAUUGCAGAAUUCAGUGAAUCAUCGAAUCUUUGAACGCACCUUGCGCUCUUGGGCUAUUCCUAAGAGCAUGCCUGUUUGAGUGUCUUG
This 159-nucleotide ribosomal RNA is filed under the name Peniophorella odontiiformis. RNAcentral's name for it is "5.8S ribosomal RNA". It matches the Rfam family "5.8S ribosomal RNA". From Rfam's summary of the family: 5.8S ribosomal RNA (5.8S rRNA) is a component of the large subunit of the eukaryotic ribosome. The record is from RNAcentral. RNAcentral also lists the same sequence under 1 other name. Lineage: Eukaryota; Fungi; Basidiomycota; Agaricomycetes; Hymenochaetales.